This 450-nucleotide ribosomal RNA is filed under the name uncultured bacterium. RNAcentral's name for it is "partial 16S ribosomal RNA". It matches the Rfam family "Bacterial small subunit ribosomal RNA", at positions 354 to 796 of the family's 1533-position model. The record is from RNAcentral.
GUGGGGAAUAUUGGACAAUGGGCGAAAGCCUGAUCCAGCCAUGCCGCGUGUGUGAAGAAGGUCUUCGGAUUGUAAAGCACUUUAAGUUGGGAGGAAGGGCAUUAACCUAAUACGUUGGUGUUUUGACGUUACCGACAGAAUAAGCACCGGCUAACUUCGUGCCAGCAGCCGCGGUAAUACGAAGGGUGCAAGCGUUAAUCGGAAUUACUGGGCGUAAAGAGCGCGUAGGUGGUUCGUUAAGUUGGAUGUGAAAGCCCCGGGCUCAACCUGGGAACUGCAUCCAAAACUGGCGAGCUAGAGUACGGUAGAGGGUGGUGGAAUUUCCUGUGUAGCGGUGAAAUGCGUAGAUAUAGGAAGGAACACCAGUGGCGAAGGCGACUACCUGGACUGAUACUGACACUGAGGUGCGAAAGCGUGGGGAGCAAACAGGAUUAGAUACCCUUGUAGUCC